Molecule: ribosomal RNA, 474 nt
Filed under: uncultured organism
Description: partial 16S ribosomal RNA
Rfam family: Bacterial small subunit ribosomal RNA
Source: RNAcentral
ACGUACCUCCUGCGGGAGGCAGCAGUGGGGAAUAUUGCACAAUGGGCGCAAGCCUGAUGCAGCCAUGCCGCGUGUAUGAAGAAGGCCUUCGGGUUGUAAAGUACUUUCAGCGGGGAGGAAGGCAAUACGGUUAAUAACCGUGUUGAUUGACGUUACCCGCAGAAGAAGCACCGGCUAACUCCGUGCCAGCAGCCGCGGUAAUACGGAGGGUGCAAGCGUUAAUCGGAAUUACUGGGCGUAAAGCGCACGCAGGCGGUCUGUCAAGUCGGAUGUGAAAUCCCCGGGCUCAACCUGGGAACUGCAUUCGAAACUGGCAGGCUUGAGUCUUGUAGAGGGGGGUAGAAUUCCAGGUGUAGCGGUGAAAUGCGUAGAGAUCUGGAGGAAUACCGGUGGCGAAGGCGGCCCCCUGGACAAAGACUGACGCUCAGGUGCGAAAGCGUGGGGAGCAAACAGGAUUAGAUACCCGUGUAGUCC